This 207-nucleotide ribosomal RNA is filed under the name uncultured bacterium. RNAcentral's name for it is "partial 16S ribosomal RNA". It matches the Rfam family "Bacterial small subunit ribosomal RNA", at positions 1294 to 1500 of the family's 1533-position model. The record is from RNAcentral.
CGGAUUGUAGUCUGCAACUCGACUACAUGAAGCUGGAAUCGCUAGUAAUCGCAGAUCAGAAUGCUGCGGUGAAUACGUUCCCGGGUCUUGUACACACCGCCCGUCACACCAUGGGAGUCGGAUAUGCCCGAAGCCAGUGACCCAACCGUAAGGAGGGAGCUGUCGAAGGUGGAGCCGAUAACUGGGGUGAAGUCGUAACAAGGUAAC